RNAcentral lists this ribosomal RNA (374 nucleotides) under uncultured organism. Its description in RNAcentral is "partial 16S ribosomal RNA". It matches the Rfam family "Bacterial small subunit ribosomal RNA", at positions 527 to 897 of the family's 1533-position model. The record is from RNAcentral.
GAAGGUGGCGAGCGUUGUUCGGAAUCACUGGGCUUAAAGCGCGCGUAGGCGGAAUGGAUAGUGUCUUGUGAAAGCCCCCGGCUUAACCGGGGAAUUGCUUGGCAUACUUCCAUUCUUGAGGUAAGUAGGGGUACAUGGAACUCUUGGUGGAGCGGUGGAAUGCGUAGAUAUCAAGAGGAACGCCAAUGGUGAAGACAGUGUACUGGGCUUAUUCUGACGCUGAGGUGCGAAAGCGUGGGGAGCGAACGGGGAUUAGAUACCCCGGUAGUCCACGCCGUAAACGAUGUCUACUAGGUUGUGGAGGUUCUGACACCCUCACAGUCGAAGCAAAAGUGUUAAGUAGACCGCCUGGGGAAGUACGGUCGCAAGGCUAA